Molecule: long non-coding RNA, 1706 nt
Organism: Brassica napus (rape)
Lineage: Eukaryota; Viridiplantae; Streptophyta; Magnoliopsida; Brassicales; Brassicaceae
Exons: 5
Source: RefSeq, a predicted model, not a curated record
GUUCUCCAGUCGUCGUCGUCUUCCAUCUCUUCUUAUUUCAGCACCUUCAUCUUUUACAGCUUUCCCUUCUCCGCUUGAACGUAUACGUUCAUUAGCAUUUAGCUCAAUCAUUAAUUGCAGAUAUCCUAAGGACAUGAAUCGAUUUCCAUUCCACCAGCUCCACAUUAUAUAAGUCCCUCAUCUCUUUCUUCCUUCCUCUCAUCACCACAGUAACAAAAAUCAAUUUAUCAAAUCCACAAAAGGGAACAGAGAACGAAAUUUACCGGCAACCCCCAUGUGUCUCUCUACAGUGACGUGUUGCUGGUUUGGUUCAGAGUGAGCUAUGGCUAGAUAUAAAUUUAUAUUUAGGAAGCAAGAAGCACAACGAAAUGGCUUUCUAAUUGGGCUGGAGCUCUUUUUAUUGAUGAACAGAGUCAAAAGAUCUAAGACACGUUUGAUGUCGCGUUCAGAAAACAGGGCCUGGAAGUAUAGAAAUCUCUUCUGAGCAAAAAUUUCAUGUUGACUUUUUGCCGUGUACGUCUUCUCACGGACAUGAAGAAGAGGAGCGCUUUGUGAGGGAGAUAUUGAGGCAGAGAGGAAGCACAAAGAAGAAGAAGAACUUAGUUUAUCUUUAAAGAUUAGGUUCUCUGUCUAAAUCUCACCAUUCAAACAUCUGCACUUUGAGUUUUUGGACUUGGGUAUUAGGAAAUAUUUGAGGAUAUUCUGAUUUAUGGUACCAAAUGUAAUGUUUGGUGAUCUUGAUGUCUUCUAUAAUAGGUUUCAACACACCGAGCUUCUCUCAAGUGUAACAAGAGGUUGCUUUCUCAUCUAUCAAUGAUGAUUUGACAAUAGACCAUCCCCAAUUUUUCAUAUAAUCAAUUAUUGCGGAACUCAAGUACAUCCACACAUGUAUUCCAUUUCUCUAAUUUGGUCUCUGAGUUUAGCUUUGUCAUCCUUCAAUCUCUCUUUAUGUGUAUAUAUCUCUAUUAAAUUUAGAACUAUGUUGCUAUACGAUAGUAUAUAUAGAGCUCCACUGUUUUGUGGAUGUUUCCUACUUCCAAGUUGCUUCUCUAUAUAAACCUCUCUUUUAAUUUUUGUAUUACUGCGUGCUAAUAUUGGUGGAUUUUGAUUUGUUGUAUACACCCGCCAUUGAUAUAUGGAGCAUAGGCUGAAUCUUUCCCGGAGUAUUGGUGUGAUAAACUCACUUUUCCCUGGAAAGAAUGUGAUCUGCUGGGGAAACCUUCCAUGGACACCAUAUCUGGGGAAACUUGGAGGAAUAGGGUAGAUGCUUACUGGGAUCUCUUGAGUCCUGCAAUUCAAUCAGACACCAUGAGGAACAUAAUGGACAUGAAAGCAAACAUGGGUUCCUUUGCUACUGCUCUGAAUGACAAAGAUGUUUGGGUUAUGAAUGGCGUUCCUGAAGACGGGUCUAACACACUUAAACUGAUAUACGACAGAGGCCUGAUGGGUGCUGUUCAUAGCUGGUGUGAAGCCUUCUCAACUUACCCAAGGACUUACGAUCUAUUCAUGUGUUUCUUUGUCACCUUUUUUCUUUUAUAUAAGAAAACUAAUUUCUUAUUUUGUAUUAUUUUAAAUAAAUUUAUUAGGUGAUGUUUUGAAGUUUGUGUGAUUUAUUGAUCUUGAUGGAUGAUGGUGUAAUUUUUAAUAAAUUCUAUUCUUCGGAUAAUUACAUUAUAUUUUAGCUGAGCAAUCAGGGAGGAAAAUAU